Molecule: ribosomal RNA, 741 nt
Filed under: uncultured bacterium
Lineage: Bacteria
Description: bacterial SSU rRNA
Rfam family: Bacterial small subunit ribosomal RNA
Source: RNAcentral
UCGAACGCGAAAGUGGAGCAUCCAUGAGUAGAGUGGCAAACGGGUGAGUAGCGCGUGGGCGACCUACCUUCGAGUGGGGGAUAACUUUCCGAAAGGAAGGCUAAUACCGCAUGACAUUCCGUGUUUGGAGACAUGGAAAUCAAAGCCGGGGAUCGCAAGACCUGGCGCUUGGAGAGGGGCCCGCGUCCGAUUAGCUAGUUGGUGAGGUAACGGCUCACCAAGGCUCCGAUCGGUAUCCGGCCUGAGAGGGCGGACGGACACACUGGAACUGAGACACGGUCCAGACUCCUACGGGAGGCAGCAGUGGGGAAUUGUUCGCAAUGGGCGCAAGCCUGACGACGCAACGCCGCGUGGAGGAUGAAGACCUUCGGGUCGUAAACUCCUUUCGACCGAGAUGAACACCUGCGGGGAUAAUACUCCCGCAGGCUGACAGUAUCGAGGGAAGCAGCCCCGGCUAACUCCGUGCCAGCAGCCGCGGUAAUACGGGGGGGGCAAGCGUUGUUCGGAAUUACUGGGCGUAAAGGGUUCGUAGGUGGUCAACUAAGUCAGACGUGAAAUCCCUCAGCUUAACUGGGGAACUGCGUCUGAUACUGGUCGGCUUGAGUGCAGGAGAGGAACGCGGAACUCCAGGUGUAGCGGUGAAAUGCGUAGAUAUCUGGAGGAACACCGGUGGCGAGGGCGGCGUUCUGGACUGCAACUGACACUGAUGAACGAAAGCCAGGGGAGCAAACGGGAUUAGAU